RNAcentral lists this transfer RNA (56 nucleotides) under Xenurolebias myersi. RNAcentral's name for it is "tRNA-Cys". The record is from RNAcentral. Lineage: Eukaryota; Metazoa; Chordata; Actinopteri; Cyprinodontiformes; Rivulidae.
GACCCCGAAUUUAGGUUGCAAGCCUUGCUUUUGCUGAGUAAUUUUGGCCGGGGUUU